CAUUCUAGUGUAUUGCUGAGAUCAUCCAGGUGAUAAAACCUCUCUUUUUUCUCUUUUUUUCUCCUAAAUGAGGCUUUUCCCUCAAACCACAUCCAUUCCCAGCAGAACUGGGGGAUUCUCAGACAUCCUUGUAACGAGUUCACAUGGCUGCAGGAUUAGAAUUUGCAGUCAUUGGAGCUGGAUUCAGCCACGGUGGGAAAAACAAGAAGUGGACACCUGCAGUGCCAGUGCUGAGGUGUGAUCACAGCCCUGCAGCAUCCCAGAAAAGCAAAGGACUGUAUGAGUUUUCAGGACACAGAUUUGCUGCAGACCAGGAAUUUGCCCUUUCUGGAUCCAUGCAUCCUGCUCACACCACUGCUAGAGAGUGAUUGAUACGAGCUCAGCCCAGCAGCCCUGGGUUUGACAAAGGUUUCAUUUGGAGGGUAACAUCCCACAUUAAUCAAACCCAAGGAUGACAUGGCCCUUCUGAAGAGGGCAUUGAAUGUUUACAUGAACUCUGCUGUCCAGCUGUAAGCUCAGCUCUCCCCUCUGCAGCCUGGAAGGUGUGAUCCCACAGGGUCACACCCCAACCCCACCAUCACCUGAGCUGAUAGAUAAGGAAUGGGCUCUGCCUGUGGGUUUGAACAUCUUGGAAAUGAGGGGGUUUGUCAGCAUGUUCUGGUCUGCUUUUUCAGUGAAGGAAAUUUGUCCCCAGGUUCUCUUUCUCCCGUGUAGCCAAAGUCUCAUUACAGGCAGUUUGGUUUCUGGCCACUUUCAAAAAUAAUUUAUGAGACUGUUCCCUACAGCCUUUAAAUAAAAAUUUG
This 803-nucleotide long non-coding RNA is filed under the name Junco hyemalis (dark-eyed junco). Its description in RNAcentral is "lncRNA (ENSJHYG00000014278.1)". The record is from RNAcentral. Lineage: Eukaryota; Metazoa; Chordata; Aves; Passeriformes; Passerellidae.